UGCAUACUUUGCAAAUGUGGUGAGGAACAUGGGAUGUGGCAUCUGAAUUGCCUGAGUCCAAAUCGUGGACCCAAUGCUUCCUGGCUGUGUAAUUUGGACAAGUGACUGAACCUUCUGAGCCUCGGUUUCUCUCAUCUGUAAACUGGGGACAAUAAUGGUGGUUGUGAGAAGUACAGUAUGAUGUGCCUGGCAGAGGGAGAGAGCAGUUGUGGGUUUUGUUGUUGUUUUUAACGAGUCCCUGAUAGCCACAUAUCCCGUUAGGGAGAUGAGCCAGCUAUUGAGGGUUCUGUGAGAACUCAUAGCAACACCACCCUAAUCAGAGGAAAGGGGAAGGAGAAAGGGAAACAAGAUCCUUGGGCUGAUCAG
This 366-nucleotide long non-coding RNA is filed under the name Homo sapiens (human). RNAcentral describes it as "HSALNT0121903". Lineage: Eukaryota; Metazoa; Chordata; Mammalia; Primates; Hominidae. The record is from RNAcentral.